This 1285-nucleotide long non-coding RNA is filed under the name Chrysemys picta bellii (western painted turtle). RNAcentral's name for it is "lncRNA (ENSCPBG00000000344.1)". The record is from RNAcentral. Lineage: Eukaryota; Metazoa; Chordata; Testudines; Emydidae.
AAAAGUUUGAAGGGGGCUAGAUUCACCUUUGUGGGCACAGGGACUUGCAAUCUGCCUCCCCUGGACCCACAGGAGCAGCUGCAGUGAAGGUAGGGUUUGCUUGUUACACAAUCACUUUUGGAGCUGCACCAAGCAACUACAGGGCCCCUGUGUAAUAAUCUGCAUGGAACUUGAAGAGAGGAACAUCGGUUGCAGGAGGGUAGAGUUUAAGGGCGUCACCAAGAAGCCAGUCUAUGUGCACCUGCCUGGAAUUCUAGCUGCAGUUGAAGCUUAAUAAAGAGCCAGUUUAGUUUAAGAAACAUGGAGCCCUCUCAUGUUGUCACCCAGCACAAGGUACAUGAAACACCCUAGAGGGGUAGGAAAAGGAGGGAUCUGAAGUCCCUGUAUUCUCUUUCCAGAUGCAGUUACUGCUUCUGCAGGCCUAGGUAGCCUUGGGCUGGCUGAUUCCCAGGAACAAACAGCCAUUAUUUGGUUUGGAUCAGGGACCCAAAGUUUGGGUGCUUAUACAUGCCCCAUCUAAAUCUCUUUAGCUAAGUGCCCCCAAAGGACCCUUAAAGGUUAAUGUGAAACUAUUGUAAGGAGUAGGGAAAGUGGUGCUGGGAAUUAAUUAUCAGCUUCAUAUCUAUUUACUGAAGAGAGUAGCAAGAUAAAUAUAAGGGCCUGGUUUAAUCACAGUUGUAAAUCCUUUUAAAUCAACGGCCAUGGGUUGCUAGAUUUUUUGCAACAGAAAACAGAGACAAAUUUAUUACCCAACAUUGUCAGGGGGAGUGGGAAGAAUGGGAAGAGAACAAUCAGAGGUUGGUAGUUUUAAAAUCCUGGGGGUAAAUUCAUCCCUAGUUUGACUCCUUUGAAGCCAGCAGCAGGAAGAUCAGAGGAAACAGUAAUAUAAAUUGUGGGUGGCAUAAGAUGCUGAAUGUGAAGAAUGGGAUAUUCUGGUUUACAGAAGAAAAACAGACUAUUACUUCUAUGCAGCUGAAAUAGUUCAUCCAUCCAUCCUUUCAAACUGUCUUUAUUAGCUAGCAGUGUUGGUCCCAGGAUGUAUUAGCUGGCAGGCAGAUAGCUAGUCUAUAUAAGCAUGAGAACCAUGAGUUUCUAUCCCUCUUAUGCUUGUCUUCCAGUUGUUACUUACACCCACUUGUAUCUUGAUCUAAGCUCACUGGGGUAAUGAAUCUCUAACUCUAUGUUUGUAUAACAACCAGCACAAUGGGGCCUUGAGCCUGAUUAGGACUUGUGGUUAUUGCUUCAUACAAAUAAACUAAUUAUGAAGGAAGCCUUUAAGUGAUGG